GGCGCGGUCGGACUGGGCCGGUUCGGCCCAAAGUGGCCGGGCUGGUCCGGUUACCCCUUUUUUUUCUUUUAGACCUUUUCUUUUUUCUGUUUUUCACUUUUCUUUGAUAUCUUUUGAGUUUGAACUCCAAAUUGGUCCAAAUAAAUUCCAGAAAAUUUGUAAAAUCAUGUUCUACCAUGAUUCAACUUUUGGGAGUAGUUUUCCCUCAAAAUAAAAUAUAUAAAAACACAUUUGCCCUAUAAAUGCCUUUAGGGCUAUAUAUACCUAUUGAAAUAAAAUACUUUUUCAACUCCAAAUAAUUAUCCAAAAAAUAUGGGAUAGCAUAUAUAUGCAAUAAACCCCUUUUAUACUUAAACCUUAAUGGUUUGAAGAUCCAAAGCUCAAAUGGGUGUAAACCCUAGGGUUUAAAAUGAAACAAAAAUGUUUCCAAAGCCCUUUGAGAUUCAAAUUUGAAUUCAAAUAUGCAAUUGUGGCAUGAUGCUUAUGAAUGUAAUGCUCAUGUAAAGGUUUGAAAUUUUGGGAUGUUA
This 527-nucleotide long non-coding RNA is filed under the name Brachypodium distachyon (stiff brome). RNAcentral describes it as "long non-coding RNA (BDIS_LNC003843)". Lineage: Eukaryota; Viridiplantae; Streptophyta; Magnoliopsida; Poales; Poaceae. The record is from RNAcentral.